Molecule: ribosomal RNA, 609 nt
Filed under: uncultured bacterium
Lineage: Bacteria
Description: bacterial SSU rRNA
Rfam family: Bacterial small subunit ribosomal RNA
Source: RNAcentral
CCUACGGGAGGCAGCAGUGAGGAAUAUUGGACAAUGGGCGCAAGCCUGAUCCAGCCAUGCCGCGUGCAGGAAGACGGUCCUAUGGAUUGUAAACUGCUUUUGUACAGGAAGAAACACUCCCUCGUGAGGGAGCUUGACGGUACUGUAAGAAUAAGGAUCGGCUAACUCCGUGCCAGCAGCCGCGGUAAUACGGAGGAUCCAAACGUUAUCCGGAAUCAUUGGGUUUAAAGGGUCCGUAGGCGGUUUAAUAAGUCAGUGGUGAAAUCUGGUCGCUCAACGAUCAAACGGCCAUUGAUACUGUUAGACUUGAAUUAUUAGGAAGUAACUAGAAUAUGUAGUGUAGCGGUGAAAUGCUUAGAUAUUACAUGGAAUACCAAUUGCGAAGGCAGGUUACUACUAAUGGAUUGACGCUGAUGGACGAAAGCGUGGGGAGCGAACAGGAUUAGAUACCCUGGUAGUCCACGCCGUAAACGAUGGAUACUAGCUGUUCGGAGCAAUCUGAGUGGCUAAGCGAAAGUGAUAAGUAUCCCACCUGGGGAGUACGUUCGCAAGAAUGAAACUUAAAGGAAUUGACGGCNGAGAGAGACGAGACGACGACGAGGGAGGAGG